UACGUAGGGCGCGAGCGUUGUCCGGAAUUAUUGGGCGUAAAGAGCUCGUAGGCGGCCUGUUGCGUCCGCUGUGAAAUCCCAGGGCUCAACCCUGGGCGUGCAGUGGAUACGGGCAGGCUGGAGGCAGGCAGGGGAGAACGGAAUUCCCGGCGUAGCGGUGAAAUGCGCAGAUAUCGGGAGGAACACCGGUGGCGAAAGCGGCUUCCUGGUCCGACACCGACGUUCAGGCACGAAAGCGUGGGGAGCAAACAGG
RNAcentral lists this ribosomal RNA (253 nucleotides) under uncultured bacterium. Its description in RNAcentral is "partial 16S ribosomal RNA". It matches the Rfam family "Bacterial small subunit ribosomal RNA", at positions 524 to 776 of the family's 1533-position model. The record is from RNAcentral.